CAGCGGGUGUAAGCCCCGCCCGGCAACGGCUCCAACCGGAAGCAAGCGGAGCAGUCAUGGGGAUAACGAAAUGGCUGAAGCCUUCGGGGAAUGCGUGUCACGAAUUGGUGACAGCGUGAAUGUGCAGGCUUGAACGCGA
RNAcentral lists this non-coding RNA (139 nucleotides) under Paraburkholderia aspalathi. Lineage: Bacteria; Pseudomonadati; Pseudomonadota; Betaproteobacteria; Burkholderiales; Burkholderiaceae. The record is from RNAcentral.